Long non-coding RNA from Betta splendens (Siamese fighting fish), 2475 nucleotides. NCBI's taxonomy places the organism in Eukaryota, Metazoa, Chordata, Actinopteri, Anabantiformes, Osphronemidae. The record is from Ensembl.
AUGGUUUCGGUUUCAUCCUCUCCGCCUCGUCGGAUCGUCGUGCCUGCACCAACCUGCCCAGCUCCAUGGUUAUUUCCCUGGGAGGAUUUCCUGCUCUCACGCGGUCCUCAGCCUCCAGUUCAGCCGCGCGCUGCUCAGUCUCCCGUUCAGCCGCGCGCUGCUCAGUCUCCAGUUCAGCCGCGCGCUGCUCAGUCUCCAGUUCAGCCGCGCGCUGCUCAGUUUCCAGUUCAGCCGCGCGCUGCUCAGUCUCCAGAUCAGCCGCGCGCUGCUCAGUCUCCAGUUCAGCCGCGCGCUGUUCAAUCUCCAGCUCAAUCGUGCUUUGCCCAGUCUCCAGCUCAAUCGUGUUUUGCCCAGUCUCCUGCUCAAUCGUGUUUUCCCCAGUCUCCAGCCCAAGUUCCAGACGCCGCGGCCCCGUUUCACCAUGCGGAUCCCGGUACAGAGGUCCGGUCCACACCGCGCCCAGCGCCUCAAACGACGGACAGUCGCAGCUGCUCCGGACGGCGACGGCGGCGGCGCGGGUCCAGGAUCCCGGGUCCCGCGGUCUCGGUCAUGGGGACCGAGCAGCCUUCUUCCCCGACAGAGGAGCCCCUUAAUUCUCUGACUGACUGUGUCCCUCUGAUAACAGGCAUCCCAGACAGCGUCGCCCGACGGGUCCACCUCCUCUGCUCUCCUCCAGUUGCCUUUCUCUUCGCCCACCUCAUGAACACCGCCAAUUCGGCUACAGACCAGGGCGCGAGAGAACAACUGUUCGAGGAAGCAGCCGCUCUCGUCCGGAGGGAGCCUGUCCUGCGUGAGGCCCUGCAACUCCCGGGCCUGCAGCCAGCGGUCGCUUCAUGCCCCACCUCUCAGUCAGGUCAGCCGUGUGUUACCCAUGCCCCGGUGCAGCCCUGUCGUCUCCAGGUCCCAGCCCAGUCGAACCUAGUCCAGACCCCAGAUCAGCCGUGUGUUGCCCAGACCCCAGAUCAGCCGUGUGUAGCCCAGACCCCAGAUCAGCCGUGUGUUGCCCAGACCCCAGAUCAGCCGUGUGUUGCCCAGACCCCAGAUCAGCCGUGUGUUGCCCAGACCCCAGAUCAGUCGUGUGUUGCCCAGACCCCAGAUCAGUCGUGUGUUGCCCUGACCCCAGUUCCGUCCUUGUCCCCGUCAGAGGGCGCCGUCCGUCUGACGACUGUUAACCCCACCCAAUCAGGCCCGACGUCUCCCCCGUCGAGCUCGGCAGCUGUAAGCUGUCAUGCCAGCUCCGGAGGGGACGCCACUCCAGUCCCUGUCGGCCAUGUUGCGGCCGUUCUAGUUCCUGUCGGCUCCUCAGAGGAGGACGCCGUCCCUGUUCCCGUCGGCCAUAUUGAGGCCGUUCUAGUUCCAGUUCCUGUCGGCUCCUCAGAGGAGGACGCCGUUCUAGUUCCUGUCGGCCAAGUAGAGGUCGUUCCAGUUCCUGUCGAACCGUUAAAGGUCGUUCCUGUCCCUGUCGGCCAUGUUGAGGUCGUUCCAGUUCCUGUCGGCCAAGUAGAGGUCGUUCCAGUUCCUGUCGAUCCGUUAAAGGUCGUUCCUGUCCCUGUCGGCCAUGUUGAGGUCGUUCCAGUUCCUGUCGGCCAUGUUGAGGUCGUUCCAGUUCCUGUCGGCCAUGUUGAGGUCGUUCCAGUUCCUGUCGGCCAUGUUGAGGUCGUUCCAGUUCCUGUCGGCCAUGUUGAGGUCGUUCCAGUUCCUGUCGGCCAUGUUGAGGUCGUUCCAGUUCCUGUCGGCCAUGUCGAGGUCGUUCCAGUUCCUGCCGACCAAAUUGAGGUCGUUCCAGUCCCUGUCCCUGCCGACCAAAUUGAGGUCGUUCCAGUUCCUGUUCCUGUAGGCCAAGUAGAGGACGUUCCCGUAGGCCAAGUAGAGGGCGUUCCCGUAGGCCGAGUAGAGGGCGUUCCCGUAGGCCAAGUAGAGGGCGUUCCCGUAGGCCGAGUAGAGGGCGUUCCCGUAGGCCAAGUAGAGGGCGUUCCCGUAGGCCGAGUAGAGGGCGUUCCCGUAGGCCAAGUAGAGGUCACCCCUGUCUCUGACCCCGUUCCUGUCGACCCUGUAGCGGUCGUUCCAGUCCCCGUUCCUGUCGACCCUGUAGCGGUCGUUCCAGUCCCCGUUCCUGUCGGCCCUGUAGCGGUCGUUCCAGUCCCCGUUCCUGUCGGCCCUGUAGCGCCAGUCGCAGUUCCUGCGCACCUCCAGGAGGAGGUUGCGCCAGUCGCAGUUCCUGCGCACCUCCAGGAGGAGGUUGCGCCAGCCGCAGUUCCUGCGCACCUCCAGGAGGAGGUUGCGCCAGCCGCAGUUCCUGCGCACCUCCAGGAGGAGGUUGCGCCAGCCGCAGUUCCUGCGCACCUCCAGGAGGAGGUUGCGCCAGCCGCAGUUCCUGCGCACCUCCAGGAGGAGGUUGCGCCAGCCGCAGUUCCUGCGCACCUCCAGGAGGAGGUUGCGCCAGCCGCAGUUCCUGCGCACCUCCAGGAGGGAGGU